CGGGCAGUCGCCCAGUGAUAGAGAUCCCGCUUCGUAUGUGGGAAGACCUGGGUUCGAUUCCCGGCUGCUUAC
RNAcentral lists this transfer RNA (72 nucleotides) under Toxocara canis (dog roundworm). It matches the Rfam family "tRNA". From Rfam's summary of the family: Transfer RNA (tRNA) molecules are approximately 80 nucleotides in length. Lineage: Eukaryota; Metazoa; Nematoda; Chromadorea; Rhabditida; Toxocaridae. The record is from Rfam by way of RNAcentral.